CUUUACACAUGCAAGUCGAACGGCAGCACGGGUGCUUGCACCUGGUGGCGAGUGGCGAACGGGUGAGUAAUAUAUCGGAACGUAUCCAAUAAUGGGGGAUAACUAGCCGAAAGGUUAGCUAAUACCGCAUACGCCCUGAGGGGGAAAGCUGGGGAUCGUAAGACCUAGCGUUGAUGGAGCGGCCGAUAUCUGAUUAGCUAGUUGGUGGGGUAAGAGCCUACCAAGGCGACGAUCAGUAGCUGGUCUGAGAGGACGACCAGCCACACUGGAACUGAGACACGGUCCAGACUCCUACGGGAGGCAGCAGUGGGGAAUUUUGGACAAUGGGGGCAACCCUGAUCCAGCCAUUCCGCGUGAGUGAAGAAGGCCUUCGGGUUGUAAAGCUCUUUCGCAAGGGAAGAAAACUCAAUCUCUAAUAUAGGUUGAGGCUGACGGUACCUUGAUAAGAAGCACCGGCUAACUACGUGCCAGCAGCCGCGGUAAUACGUAGGGCGCGAGCGUUAAUCGGAAUUACUGGGCGUAAAGCGUGCGCAGGCGGUUUUGAAAGUCAGAUGUGAAAUCCCCGGGCUCAACCUGGGAACUGCGUUUGAAACUCCAAAGCUAGAGUAAGGGAGAGGGAGGUAGAAUUCCACGUGUAGCAGUGAAAUGCGUAGAGAUGUGGAGGAAUACCAAUGGCGAAGGCAGCCUCCUGGCCUAAUACUGACGCUCAUGCACGAAAGCGUGGGGAGCAAACAGGAUUAGAUACCCUGGUAGUCCACGCCCUAAACGAUGUCUACUAGUUGUUGGGAGAGUAAAAUCUUUUAGUAACGAAGCUAACGCGAGAAGUAGACCGCCUGGGGAGUACGGUCGCAAGAUUAAAACUCAAAGGAAUUGACGGGGGCCCGCACAAGCGGUGGAUUAUGUGGAUUAAUUCGAUGCACCGCGAAAAACCUUACCUAGCCUUGACAUGUAGCGAACUUAGCAGAGAUGCUUUGGUGCCCGAAAGGGAGCGUUAACACAGGUGCUGCAUGGCUGUCGUCACCUCGUGUC
Molecule: ribosomal RNA, 1029 nt
Filed under: uncultured bacterium
Lineage: Bacteria
Description: bacterial SSU rRNA
Rfam family: Bacterial small subunit ribosomal RNA
Source: RNAcentral